GUGUCCCUGCAACUGCACGCUCGUUCCUUCCGCCAUGCAAUGUACCAAGGCAUGCUCCACAAACUAGCACAACUAACAUUCAAAACUCGGAGCCAAGCCAUGUAAACUUGGCAGCUAAUGCAAAUGAUGUAGAUUCACUUGAUCAAGAAGCUGAUGACCCCAGUGUUGAUUCUAGUGCUCAGAGUCGCAAAAGACGCAAGACUACAGAGUUUUGGGCAGUUAAGAUAAUCGAUUCUGACGGCACAAUCAAGCGGGCAAGACUAAGUGUGAGGGAGGCUAUGGAAUGGCCUAACAGUAGGAAGAUCAUGCUCAGGUUCAACAGAGCAAAGCAAGCAAUUGUUGAGUGGCGUGCUUGGUCUGUUGGGAACUGACUAUGGAAAAUUCCCUAUCUGUGAGAGAAGUUGGCGUAAGAUUACCACUAAAGACAAUGUUUAUAACUAAUGCAUCAAGCAAAUUUUCCACUUUGAUGAAGAUAUUAAAGAAACUGUCAAGAAAAAUAUUCUGAAAAGUAUGGGAAAGUCUUGGAAGGAAGGAAGGCUGAGGUUGUACAAUGCUUUUUACGAGCUAACAUUUACGACUGAAGAAAACAUUGAGCAACGUCUGCCUGGAAUCAAUCGAGAGCAUUGGAGAUGGUUCCUUAACUAUCCCGUCGAAGAGGAGAGAAAGGAGAAGUGAAGGAAAAACGCGGCUAAUCGAUCAAAGCAACUAUAUAGCCACACUGGUGGUUCGAAAAGCUUUGCACGGCGGAUGGAAGAAGAGAAACAGGAUGAGCAACAGGAUGAGUCUUCUAGAUUGUUGUCUCAAAAUGAUUCCAUUGCUCAGGUUUUCGGAAAAGAGAAACCUGGUAGAGUACGUGGUAUGGGUGCUGGACCGACUCCUAGUCAACUCUUUGGUCCGAAUUCACGUGCGCUGGUCAACGGAGUCCAAAUAGAGGAGACCAAGAGGAAGCUGCUAGAACUACAAGCAGAGUUGGAACGC
Non-coding RNA from Arachis ipaensis, 978 nucleotides. The record is from RefSeq and is a predicted model, not a curated record. Lineage: Eukaryota; Viridiplantae; Streptophyta; Magnoliopsida; Fabales; Fabaceae.